RNAcentral lists this ribosomal RNA (253 nucleotides) under uncultured prokaryote. Its description in RNAcentral is "partial 16S ribosomal RNA". It matches the Rfam family "Bacterial small subunit ribosomal RNA", at positions 525 to 777 of the family's 1533-position model. The record is from RNAcentral.
ACGUAGGGGGCAAGCGUUGUCCGGAAUCAUUGGGCGUAAAGCGCGUGUAGGCGGUUCGGUAAGUCUGCUGUGAAAGUCCAGGGCUCAACCCUGGGAUGCCGGUGGAUACUGUCGAACUAGAGUACGGAAGAGGCGAGUGGAAUUCCCGGUGUAGCGGUGAAAUGCGCAGAUAUCGGGAGGAACACCAAUUGCGAAGGCAGCUCGCUGGGACGUCACUGACGCUGAGACGCGAAAGCGUGGGGAGCAAACAGGA